AUGCCAAGAAACGCGCGCAGCUCCGCCAAAACGGAAUGGGAAACGCCCAGGGGUCCAUGGUCCCGCAUCCACAUUGAUUUUGCGGGACCUACAAAAGGCCAUACCUUUCUGAUAACAGUGGACGCCUACUCGAACUGGCUCAAGGUGAACAAGAUGAAGACCACAACCACAGAAGCGGUCAUCAAAAAACUAAACAGUCUGUUUGCAACACACGGAUUUCCAGAUGUCCUGGUCUCCGACAAUGGCCCGCAGUUUACCGCCCUGGCGUUUGAACAAUACCUAGCUGACCGGGGAAUACGUCACGCCUUGACAUCACCUGCACACCCGGCAGCCAAUGGCAGAGCUGAACGAAUGGUUCAGUUUACUAAAACAACCCUACACAAAAUGGACCAAGGAAAUAUUCACGACAGAGUCACCAGAAUGCUCCUUCUCCAACAUAUCACACCGAACAGCACCACAAACAAAAGCCCAGCUGAACUUCUUAUGGGCAGAAAACUUAGAUCACACCUGGACCGCCUACACCCUGCCUACACCCCAGAAAAGCCCCUGGGUUCCAGCAGCAAACAUCGCACAUUCAAGGUAGGAGACCUUGUGUUCGCUAAGAAUUUUACAGGUGACCCUUUGUGGGUCCCUGCCAAGAUAACACAAAUUACGGGUCCCCGUUCCUACCAAUUAGAAACCACAGAUGGAAGAUUGUGGAAACGCCACAUCGACCAGCUGCGUUCAAGACUACUAACUACCCCCUCCACGAACUCUGACAUCGAAACCAGAGGGGGAAGGGAAACCGAGGAUUUUGAAAAUGAAAUAAUACCUGCCCCAGGACACGCUAGCCCGCAGUUCGCACAUCCAAGCCCAGCAUACACACCUGAUGACGAGGACCCAUGGCAGACGGUCGUUUCCCCAGGCAGCAGCAGCCGAGCGGGGUCAGCAAGUUCGGAGGACCCAGACGACAGGGACAACGUUGUAGGCAGCCCUGAGUCACCUCCAAGGAUACCCAGCAUAGAAGCCAGGUCACCGUUAAACAACCCACCAGAACCAGCAUCCGAGCUAAGGCAGGUUGAACAACGCAAAUCAGGUAGACAGGUGCGAAGACCUGCCUACCUGCGCGAAUACAUCACCCCACCCCUGAGACGGAACCUAGAGGGGAGGGGUGUUCCGAACUAA
RNAcentral lists this long non-coding RNA (1164 nucleotides) under Notechis scutatus (mainland tiger snake). RNAcentral describes it as "lncRNA (ENSNSUG00000002693.1)". The record is from RNAcentral. Lineage: Eukaryota; Metazoa; Chordata; Lepidosauria; Squamata; Elapidae.